GUGACAGCUUUUCUUAUAUUUAAACAUGGCUAUCAUAUCAUUUCUUACUCUUCUCCAAGCUAAACACAUUCAACUCUUUCUCUCAUGAAUUCAAGACCCCACCCGCCUGUAAUUAAUCGGCAUCAAUGCACCUGUUGCUAUCUUGUUCAAUUUAGGCCCCUUCUACACUGUCCUGUAUCCCAGAAUCUGAUCCCAGAUUAUCCGCUUAUCCCAGUUUAUAUGGCAAUGUAGACUCAUAUAACCCAGUUCAAAGCAGGUAAUCUGGGAUCAGAUCCUGGGAUAUAGGACAGUGUAGAUCCAGACUUAGCUAGAGAAAACUUAGACCUUACAGGACAUCAUUGAGGUUUCCUGACAACAAGGGGAAUAUUAUUCUGUCCCGUUCUGAAGGGUGCAAAGCCUAAACAAUUUUCAGAAUUCAGUAUCAACAACCACAUGGACUCCAACCUUUCCUAUUUGAAUAUGCAGCACAAAAUGAAUAAUCUGAAGGGAAGACCUUCCAAACGACUCUGGCUUCAAACAAAAAAAUGACAGCAGUUCAUUUUUCCUGCCAUGGAAGAAACUACAACCACCUUUGACGUCAAGAGGGUUCCCCAGCCAAUGAAGACCCAGAUCCUGGCCAUCUUUCUGACCAAUCAGGAGGGCAAGGGUAUUUUGAAUGGCUGUCAAAGAGAAUAAAGUGUCUUCUACUGUA
Anolis carolinensis (green anole) is the source of this 691-nucleotide long non-coding RNA. RefSeq lists it as uncharacterized. The transcript has 2 exons. Lineage: Eukaryota; Metazoa; Chordata; Lepidosauria; Squamata; Anolidae. The record is from RefSeq and is a predicted model, not a curated record.